UUUGAGUAGUUUAUUUAGAAUUAUAAUUUGUGGUAUUAUAGGUGAAUAUUUUUCCUCAAGUC
This 62-nucleotide transfer RNA is filed under the name Phallospinophylus setosus. RNAcentral's name for it is "tRNA-His". The record is from RNAcentral. Lineage: Eukaryota; Metazoa; Arthropoda; Insecta; Hemiptera; Miridae.